AGAGUAUAGCUCAGUGGUAGAGCACAUACUUGGCAUGCAUGAGGUCCUGGGUUUAAUCCCCAGUACCUCUG
This 71-nucleotide transfer RNA is filed under the name Camelus ferus (Wild Bactrian camel). It matches the Rfam family "tRNA". From Rfam's summary of the family: Transfer RNA (tRNA) molecules are approximately 80 nucleotides in length. Their secondary structure includes four short double-helical elements and three loops (D, anti-codon, and T loops). Further hydrogen bonds mediate the characteristic L-shaped molecular structure. tRNAs have two regions of fundamental functional importance: the anti-codon, which is responsible for specific mRNA codon recognition, and the 3' end, to which the tRNAs corresponding amino acid is attached (by aminoacyl-tRNA synthetases). tRNAs cope with the degeneracy of the genetic code in two manners: having more than one tRNA (with a specific anti-codon) for a particular amino acid; and 'wobble' base-pairing, i.e. permitting non-standard base-pairing at the 3rd anti-codon position. Lineage: Eukaryota; Metazoa; Chordata; Mammalia; Artiodactyla; Camelidae. The record is from Rfam by way of RNAcentral.